UUUCUUUUUGUUGUUGAUUUC
RNAcentral lists this non-coding RNA (21 nucleotides) under Caenorhabditis elegans. Lineage: Eukaryota; Metazoa; Nematoda; Chromadorea; Rhabditida; Rhabditidae. The record is from RNAcentral.